This 321-nucleotide ribosomal RNA is filed under the name Triticum aestivum (bread wheat). RNAcentral's name for it is "partial small subunit ribosomal RNA". The record is from RNAcentral. Lineage: Eukaryota; Viridiplantae; Streptophyta; Magnoliopsida; Poales; Poaceae.
AUGCCUUUGCCACAAAAUUCUGUUCUUGGGGCUAAAGAUCUGCCAAGGGCCAUGCUUAGCGAUCAUAUAGAAGAACAACUCUUUAAACGGCUCAAUGAAGAGAGACACGAACGGGCUAUUCAUGAUGGGAAAAGUUUUGAUGAGGUUAGUGCUACCUCAUCAAUUUACAGAAUCUUACGUUUAUGGAUCCUAUGUUUUCUUUUUCUUGGUUAUAUCUUGGUUUCCUUUCCUGAAUAUGAAAUAUGUGGUUUGUGUACUUCUUAUAAACAGAGAUGUGUUGCUCCUUCUGCAUACUUUUAUUCCUUUAUUUUCAGAAUUUGA